GUGGGUAGUUUGACUGGGGCGGUCUCCUCCUAAAGAGUAACGGAGGAGCACGAAGGUUGGCUAAUCCUGGUCGGACAUCAGGAGGUUAGUGCAAUGGCAUAAGCCAGCUUGACUGCGAGCGUGACGGCGCGAGCAGGUGCGAAAGCAGGUCAUAGUGAUCCGGUGGUUCUGAAUGGAAGGGCCAUCGCUCAACGGAUAAAAGGUACUCCGGGGAUAACAGGCUGAUACCGCCCAAGAGUUCAUAUCGACGGCGGUGUUUGGCACCUCGAUGUCGGCUCAUCACAUCCUGGGGCUGAAGUAGGUCCCAAGGGUAUGGCUGUUCGCCAUUUAAAGUGGUACGCGAGCUGGGUUUAGAACGUCGUGAGACAGUUCGGUCCCUAUCUGCCGUGGGCGCUGGAGAAUUGAGGGGGGCUGCUCCUAGUACGAGAGGACCGGAGUGGACGCAUCACUGGUGUUCGGGUUGUCAUGCCAAUGGCACUGCCCGGUAGCUAAAUGCGGAAGAGAUAAGUGCUGAAAGCAUCUAAGCACGAAACUUGCCCCGAGAUGAGUUCUCCCUGACUCCUUGAGAGUCCUGAAGGAACGUUGAAGACGACGACGUUGAUAGGCCGGGUGUGUAAGCGCAGCGAUGCGUUGAGCUAACCGGUACUAAUGAACCGUGAGGCUUAACCUUACAACGCCGAAG
This 682-nucleotide ribosomal RNA is filed under the name Escherichia coli. RNAcentral describes it as "partial 23S ribosomal RNA". It matches the Rfam family "Bacterial large subunit ribosomal RNA", at positions 2261 to 2925 of the family's 2925-position model. The record is from RNAcentral. Lineage: Bacteria; Pseudomonadati; Pseudomonadota; Gammaproteobacteria; Enterobacterales; Enterobacteriaceae.